RNAcentral lists this long non-coding RNA (325 nucleotides) under Elaeis guineensis (African oil palm). RNAcentral describes it as "long non-coding RNA (EGUI_LNC062219)". Lineage: Eukaryota; Viridiplantae; Streptophyta; Magnoliopsida; Arecales; Arecaceae. The record is from RNAcentral.
UGAUGCGGGACAAUCCUAAAAAAAAAAUCAAUCCUAAUAAUCAAGCUCUCUUCUGUUCAUCAACAACAAAUCACGUCCGGCCAAGGGCUCAUUAUUCCCAGGACAGACAGUAUAGUUGCCUAUACUCUGCUCAGGAGGCGUGAUUGAUUGAUACGAGACUAAAGCGAGAUCAAUCUAAAUGAUACAGACGAAUACCAUUCGAGAGAUCAGUAAACAAUUAGUAAUAAAAAAUUUCAUAAACAGAUAGCAGAAAUUAAACAUGCUCACGAGUAAAUGCAAAAAAAGAAAUAAGAAUGGAACGAGAGAAAAUAAAAAUAUUAAACCC